RNAcentral lists this ribosomal RNA (490 nucleotides) under uncultured bacterium. RNAcentral's name for it is "partial 16S ribosomal RNA". It matches the Rfam family "Bacterial small subunit ribosomal RNA", at positions 30 to 507 of the family's 1533-position model. The record is from RNAcentral.
AUUGAAUGCUGGCGGCAGGCCUAACACAUGCAAGUCGAACGGUAACAGGAAGAAGCUUGCUUCUUUGCUGACGAGUGGCGGACGGGUGAGUAAUGUCUGGGAAACUGCCUGAUGGAGGGGGAUAACUACUGGAAACGGUAGCUAAUACCGCAUAACGUCGCAAGACCAAAGAGGGGGACCUUCGGGCCUCUUGCCAUCGGAUGUGCCCAGAUGGGAUUAGCUAGUAGGUGGGGUAACGGCUCACCUAGGCGACGAUCCCUAGCUGGUCUGAGAGGAUGACCAGCCACACUGGAACUGAGACACGGUCCAGACUCCUACGGGAGGCAGCAGUGGGGAAUAUUGCACAAUGGGCGCAAGCCUGAUGCAACCAUGCCGCGUGUAUGAAGAAGGCCUUCGGGUUGUAAAGUACUUUCAGCGGGGAGGAAGGGAGUAAAGUUAAUACCUUUGCUCAUUGACGUUACCCGCAGAAGAAGCACCGGCUAACUCCGUG